AAUCGUCAGUAGGUUAGUUAUCAGAGAGAUAAGGAUUAGGACUGGCAGUGUGCACGGCACCAUCAGAAGGACUUCCUGUGUAGAGGCAAACAGUCUCCGACCCCCACCUCUGCUCUCUAGAAAGCUGAAAUUUUACAGAUGAGGAAACAGAAGCUCAGAGAGUUUGGGGUCACAAAGUCAGUGGGUGGCAGGAGAAAGAUUAGAUCUGGCUUCAGUGAUGUGCAAUUGCCUGAUAAAGGAGCAUGAAAUCAUCACACAGACCCCAGAUCGAGUCAGAACUGGAUCUUGUGUCCCCACCAUGAACUGGGGGAGGGGGAGGCUGUGGUAGGGAUGGCUGAGAAGCUCGGCUCUGCUCCAGGCCAACAACCCACCAGCUAAAGAAUCCCAACUGUUUUCCUCCUCCUCCCACACCCAUCCUGCCUCAGAGAUGGGACCAGCUGGAUCCAACAAAGAGAACACCAGCUGAGAGCUCUAUCCAGAGGUCACCACCGCCAGGAGAAGAUGGGAGAGCAAGGCUGAGAGAGGAGAUGGCAGCGGCCUGUGGGCAGGGCAUCUGUCAUGGAGAACAGAAACCCAGUGUUCAACUGUAGACUACCCGCGAAAGAACAACAAAUUCCAAGGGAGGGGCUGCCUAAGAAGUACCUGACCAAUCCUUAUAAAAACCAUCAAAGUCAUCAAAAAUAAGGAAAGUCUGAAAGUCUGUCACAGCCCAGAGAAGACUAAGAAGAUAUGAUGAUCUAAGGUACUGGAUGGGAUCCUGGAGCAGAGAAAAGGACCUAUAAGGCAAACGCUGCAGGGCCAUUAUUUUAAUGUGUGACUGAGGCCGUUGCAUCAUGGAUUCCAGAGACUGAAAGCCCAACCAGGCUAACCACAUGGAAGAACUCUCCAAAUGUUCCCCACGGGGCCUCUGAAGAACCAAAUAUGGAGCAUCGGCAAAGAGCCAGAAUGCCAGCAGCAAGCAGGAGGCAACGAUGACAAGGAACAACCCGGGAAGGCUUUGCCCCUUAUCACCAUAUUCCUUCCAGCCUCUGCUGCAGAUGAGAGAAACAAGAUGCUGUGAUCUAAAUGUCCAUGCCCACCCCCCACAAUUCAUUGUUAAAACCUCACCUCCAAGGUGGUGGCAUGUAGAGGGGUGUCUAGGUCAUGAGGGUGGAGCCCUCAUGAGUGGGAUUAUGCCCUCACAAGAGACUCAAGAGAGAUCCUUCCCACCUCACUCCAAGCAAGGACACAGCUAGAUGGCACCAUCUGAGGACAUGGUCCCUUAUCAAACACAAUGGCUGCUGAGAUCUUGAUCUUGGACCACCCAGCCCCUCAAAACAUAAAAAAAAAUAAUUUCUGGUGUUUAUAAACCACCCAGUCUACGGCAUUUUUGUUAUAGUAGCCAGAACAGACUAAGAUGCAGGAGAGGAAAGCAGAGAAGGAGUAAAAGCACACAUCAGGCCACCGUCCAAGCGCCACCCCACUGCAGGUGCCUCAGACAUGGGCAGGCUGAGUUGGGAGCAGGUGAGAUCAUGGAAUUGGGUGGAAAAGUUUUUAUUUCAGACUGGACUGGACCUUUUUACCUAUAAGUGAGUUAUAAUGACCUAAACAAGGCAGUUCUUCUUGCUGGAGGGGACUGGAAAGUCGCAAGACCUGCCUAAGAGGUCACAGAUGUUUUAAAUUGUGCUGGGAAAAGAAAAACUAAAGUUUUCCCCAACUGAACAUCUAUAGAAGUCAGCCUAUUCGAUACAUGUACUAUAAAAUAAAAAUCAAACGAACAACA
Marmota monax (woodchuck) is the source of this 1762-nucleotide long non-coding RNA. RefSeq lists it as uncharacterized. The record is from RefSeq and is a predicted model, not a curated record. The transcript has 3 exons. Lineage: Eukaryota; Metazoa; Chordata; Mammalia; Rodentia; Sciuridae.